GUCCUGCUUUGGCUUCCCAGAGUGCUAGGAUUACAGGCAUGAACAACUGCACCUAGCCAGAUCUUCUAAUAGUUUUAACCAAAAGCAUCCUAACUGAUAACAUCUCUUUGCAAAAACUAUCUACAUAAAAUGAUGGUGACAGAAAUAAAAGAGCUGUAGAUGGGCUUUGGUGAAUGUCAAAGAACAGUGUAUCCUUUUUUGACUUCUUUUCUAGGACAAAGGUGAUAGAAGAACAGCUUAAGUCAUUCUUCCCCCAAUUUAUUAAUAUACCUUGGUAAACCAGCAUAGAAUUUUACCCACCAUGUUUCCUUCUCCCUUUUAUAACAUUAUGCAAUGUAGCUCUGUUGACUUUAGAUUUCCCUACUCAAAAAGGCAAAGCUAGAUAGUCUUCUGGAAGUUCCCUGUCCAAACUUCAUCAUCUCUCCUAGACCAGUGAAACUGCAAACUAACAUGCCUCUAUUUCCAUUCUUGCCCACUUUCAGUUGAUCUCUAAACAACAACCACAGCGAUUGCUCUUUAAGUGUAAAGAAAGUCAUAUUCAGAAGUGCCCAGUUGCUUCCACUGCACUCAGAAUUAAAUGUUUAAUAGGGUGUUUUGAUAGUCAAAUUAGAUCACAUUUGUAAAGAAUUUAGAACAGUACUUGACAAGUGUGAGCUCAAAAAAAAAA
Molecule: non-coding RNA, 667 nt
Organism: Microcebus murinus (gray mouse lemur)
Lineage: Eukaryota; Metazoa; Chordata; Mammalia; Primates; Cheirogaleidae
Source: RefSeq, a predicted model, not a curated record